This 776-nucleotide ribosomal RNA is filed under the name uncultured Neocallimastigales. RNAcentral describes it as "partial large subunit ribosomal RNA". It matches the Rfam family "Eukaryotic large subunit ribosomal RNA", at positions 26 to 643 of the family's 3401-position model. Lineage: Eukaryota; Fungi; Neocallimastigomycota; Neocallimastigomycetes; Neocallimastigales. The record is from RNAcentral.
CGUCUAUAUACGUAUAGCAUAUCAAUAAGCGGAGGAAAAGAAACUAACAAGGAUUCCCUUAGUAACGGCGAGUGAAGCGGGAAGAGCUCAAAUUUGAAAUCUUCAAGGUUCUACCUUGACGAAUUGUAGUUUAUAGAAGUGUUUUCUGUUAGUAGAGUGGCAAAAGUUCUUUGGAAUAGGACAUCAUAGAGGGUGAGAAUCCCGUAUUUGGUCAUUCUUUCUAGCUUUGUGAUACACUUUCAACGAGUCGGAUUGUUUGGGAAUGCAGUCCAAAAUGGGUGGUAAAUUUCAUCUAAAGCUAAAUAUUGGCGAGAGACCGAUAGCGAACAAGUACCGUGAGGGAAAGAUGAAAAGAACUUUGAAAAGAGAGUUAAACAGUACGUGAAAUUGUCAAAAGGGAAGCGUUUGACACCAGUGUUGUUUUUCCGAAAAUCAAUUACGAAUGUUUUAGUUUUUGAGAAGUUAUGACUUCAUCGGCUUGCUUCUCUCUUUAUGAAACUUUCUUAAUGCACUUUUCGGUUAACAAGUCAACAUCAAUUUCUUUUGUUGUAAAAGGGUAUGAGGAAGGUGGCUUUCUUUUCGGAGAAAGUGUUUAUAGCCUUGUAGCCUCUGCAAUCGGAGAGAUUGAGGUCUGCAGCGUAGAUCCUUCGGGGUUAGAUACGUUUGUGCUAAGUUAUAGCUUUUCAUAGACAACUUGUUGACUAUGUUUAGUCUUGUAGCUUACUCGCUUACGCUAUUUUACCUACGCUUAGGAUGUUGAUAUGCAUGACUGAUAU